This 433-nucleotide ribosomal RNA is filed under the name uncultured bacterium. Its description in RNAcentral is "partial 16S ribosomal RNA". It matches the Rfam family "Bacterial small subunit ribosomal RNA", at positions 29 to 506 of the family's 1533-position model. The record is from RNAcentral.
AGCGAACGCUGGCGGCAGGCCUAACACAUGCAAGUCGAACGAACCUUUCGGGGUUAGUGGCGGACGGGUGAGUAACGCGUGGGAACGUGCCUUUAGGUUCGGAAUAACUCAGGGAAACUUGUGCUAAUACCGAAUGUGCCCUUCGGGGGAAAGAUUUAUCGCCUUUAGAGCGGCCCGCGUCUGAUUAGCUAGUUGGUUGAGGUAAUGGCUCACCAAGGCGACGAUCAGUAGCUGGUCUGAGAGGAUGAUCAGCCACAUUGGGACUGAGACACGGCCCAAACUCCUACGGGAGGCAGCAGUGGGGAAUCUUGCGCAAUGGGCGAAAGCCUGACGCAGCCAUGCCGCGUGAAUGAUGAAGGUCUUAGGAUUGUAAAAUUCUUUCACCGGGGACGAUAAUGACGGUACCCGGAGAAGAAGCCCCGGCUAACUUCGU